GAAGCUGACCAGACAGUCGCCGCUUCGUCGUCGUCCUCCUUCGGGGGGAGACGGGCGGAGGGGAGGAAAGUCCGGGCUCCAUAGGGCAAGGUGCCAGGUAACGCCUGGGGGGUGUCACAGCCCACGACCAGUGCAACAGAGAGCAAACCGCCGAGGGCCCGCGCAAGCGGGAUCAGGUAAGGGUGAAAGGGUGCGGUAAGAGCGCACCGCGCGGCUGGUAACAGUCCGCGGCACGGUAAACUCCACCCGGAGCAAGGCCAAAUAGGGGUUCAUAAGGUACGGCCCGUACUGAACCCGGGUAGGCUGCUUGAGCCAGUGAGCGAUUGCUGGCCUAGAUGAAUGACUGUCCACGACAGAACCCGGCUUAUCGGUCAGUUUCACCU
RNAcentral lists this RNase P RNA (383 nucleotides) under Klebsiella pneumoniae. Its description in RNAcentral is "RNase P RNA component class A". It matches the Rfam family "Bacterial RNase P class A". Rfam says of the family: Ribonuclease P (RNase P) is a ubiquitous endoribonuclease, found in archaea, bacteria and eukarya as well as chloroplasts and mitochondria. The record is from RNAcentral. Lineage: Bacteria; Pseudomonadati; Pseudomonadota; Gammaproteobacteria; Enterobacterales; Enterobacteriaceae.